UUUAACUGAAGAGUUUGAUCAUGGCUCAGAUUGAACGCUGGCGGCAGGCUUAACACAUGCAAGUCGAGCGGGGGAAGGUAGCUUGCUACUGGACCUAGCGGCGGACGGGUGAGUAAUGCUUAGGAAUCUGCCUAUUAGUGGGGGACAACAUCUCGAAAGGGAUGCUAAUACCGCAUACGUCCUACGGGAGAAAGCAGGGGAUCUUCGGACCUUGCGCUAAUAGAUGAGCCUAAGUCGGAUUAGCUAGUUGGUGGGGUAAAGGCCUACCAAGGCGACGAUCUGUAGCGGGUCUGAGAGGAUGAUCCGCCACACUGGGACUGAGACACGGCCCAGACUCCUACGGGAGGCAGCAGUGGGGAAUAUUGGACAAUGGGGGGAACCCUGAUCCAGCCAUGCCGCGUGUGUGAAGAAGGCCUUAUGGUUGUAAAGCACUUUAAGCGAGGAGGAGGCUAC
Molecule: ribosomal RNA, 453 nt
Filed under: Acinetobacter baumannii
Lineage: Bacteria; Pseudomonadati; Pseudomonadota; Gammaproteobacteria; Moraxellales; Moraxellaceae
Description: bacterial SSU rRNA
Rfam family: Bacterial small subunit ribosomal RNA
Source: RNAcentral